This 464-nucleotide ribosomal RNA is filed under the name uncultured Weissella sp. RNAcentral describes it as "bacterial SSU rRNA". It matches the Rfam family "Bacterial small subunit ribosomal RNA", at positions 338 to 795 of the family's 1533-position model. The record is from RNAcentral. Lineage: Bacteria; Bacillati; Bacillota; Bacilli; Lactobacillales; Lactobacillaceae.
CCUACGGGUGGCAGCAGUAGGGAAUCUUCCACAAUGGACGAAAGUCUGAUGGAGCAACGCCGCGUGUGUGAUGAAGGGUUUCGGCUCGUAAAACACUGUUGUAAGAGAAGAAUGACAUUGAGAGUAACUGUUCAGUGAGUGACGGUAUCUUACCAGAAAGGAACGGCUAAAUACGUGCCAGCAUCCCGGGUAAUACUAUGUUCCCAACCGUAACCGGGAUUAAUGGGCGUAAAGCGAGCGGAGACGGUUAUUUAAGUCCGAAGUGAAAGCCCACAGCUUAACGGGGGAAGUGCUUUGGAAACUGGAUAACUGGAGUGGAGUAGAGGAGAGUGGAACUCCAGGUGUAGCGGUGAAAUGCGUAGAUAUAUGGAAGAAUACCGGUGGCGAAGGCGGCGCUCUGGACUGUAACUGACGUUGAGGCGCGAAAGUGUGGGUAGCAAACAGGAUUAGAUACCCGAGUAGUC